Molecule: ribosomal RNA, 468 nt
Filed under: uncultured bacterium
Lineage: Bacteria
Description: partial 16S ribosomal RNA
Rfam family: Bacterial small subunit ribosomal RNA
Source: RNAcentral
GACGAACGCUGGCGGCGUGCUUAACACAUGCAAGUCGAACGGAAAGGCCCUGCUUUUGUGGGGUGCUCGAGUGGCGAACGGGUGAGUAACACGUGAGUAACCGGCCCUUGACUUUGGGAUAACUUCAGGAAACUGGGGCUAAUACCGGAUAGGAGCUCCUGCUGCAUGGUGGGGGUUGGAAAGUUUCGGCGGUUGGGGAUGGACUCGCGGCUUAUCAGCUUGUUGGUGGGGUAGUGGCUUACCAAGGCUUUGACGGGUAGCCGGCCUGAGAGGGUGACCGGCCACAUUGGGACUGAGAUACGGCCCAGACUCCUACGGGAGGCAGCAGUGGGGAAUAUUGCACAAUGGGCGGAAGCCUGAUGCAGCAACGCCGCGUGCGGGAUGACGGCCUUCGGGUUGUAAACCGCUUUCGCCUGUGACGAAGCGUGAGUGACGGUAAUGGGUAAAGAAGCACCGGCUAACUACGUG